Molecule: unclassified non-coding RNA, 5426 nt
Filed under: Dermacentor andersoni
Lineage: Eukaryota; Metazoa; Arthropoda; Arachnida; Ixodida; Ixodidae
Description: transcription factor HES-1-A-like
Source: RNAcentral
AAGCAAAAAGAACAAGAAGCGCUGCAAAGAGGCUUCGGAGGGCCGAAGGCAGCGACGGGGGUGAUAUCUGGAGGAAGAAGAAGUGAACCGGGCAGCGCAGGCGAGGAGGGGUGUGCGCGUCGGCGCGCGUUGUGCGCGCGCCAGCUCACGUCGCGCUCUUCUUUUUCGGCGGCGCCCCUUCUCCGGCUCCUCCUCGGCUCCGAAAGGCGGAACUCCUGGCAGCCAGCGCUGCCGAGCGUGGCGGCUCGCGGCUGUGUCGGGUCGCGCCGGGCCGGCCUGCGUGCGUGCGUGGCCGGCUGGCGCGACGCGCGCGAGACUCCGUUCCCACGCUCGAUGCCAGGCCGCCGCUGCCUAGUCACCCCCCCCCUCUCCCUCCUCCCUUCAAUCCCCCCCCGUGCCUCCUCCUCGUCGUCGGCGGCGGCCGCUGCCUGAACGCUGUUGCUGAGAAAAGGGGGUACGAGUAAUCGGAGUUGGGUCCUCCGGGAGGGACAGGACACACGGCACGCUCUCUUCUCCGAGUUCCGCGGCGGCAGUGGAGAGAGGACCGCCUACCUGCCAGCCUGCGAGCCGCGACAUCGCGCGCGGUGCAUUCCGUUACCGUCGCCGCUGGCUCGGUGCUCGCGGCUUGCGCCCCCUCCACACACACCCCCUGCCACCCCUCCUGCUGCGCAGCAAUAACACUCUCGCCGCCACCGGUGCAGCAGCGGCCGCCGCCGCUGCUGGAGUGAGUUUGUCGUCGCCGCCGUCCGCUGCUGCUCGGUCGCGCAGCAGUGUUGUGGUGCGCUCGCUCCCGAGCUGGAUCUGACGAGCGGUGUCAGAAUGGUGGCUUCGCCGCCGCCCCUACUGCCGGCUGUGUCGCAGCAGCAGCAGCAGCAGCAGCAAUCGCCGCAGCAGCGGUACGGACUCUCGCCAGCACCGCCGUCGCCCCUGCUUCCGCCGCCACCUCCGGUGUCGAGCAUGGCCAACGCCAGCGUCGCCAACGGGCCGUCGUCGACCGAGCGUCCCACACCGUCCAGGGCCAGCGAGAUACGGCGGGCCACCAAACCCAUAAUGGAAAAACGGCGGCGCGCCAGGAUCAACCAGUGCCUCACCGAGCUCAAGGCGCUCAUCCUGGACGCACUCAACAAGGAUCCGUCACGUCACUCGAAGCUGGAGAAAGCGGAUAUCCUGGAGAUGACCGUGCGCCACUUGCAGAACGUCCAGCGUCACCAAGUUGCAGCCGCCCUGUCCACGGACCCGGUGGUGAUGGGCAAGUUCCGCGCUGGCUUCGCCGAGUGCGCCACCGAGGUCAGCCGCUACGUGUCGCGACUCGAAGGGGUCGAACCGUCCCUACGCCAGCGGCUGGUCGGCCACCUAACAUCGUGCGUGAACGGCUUCAACGGCACCUCGGCGGGCGGACCCACGUCGCCCCUGGGAGGCGUCGCGCCGGGCCUGCUGAUUUCGCCGCUCAGCGUCCAGAUCCCCACCCUCGGUGACCUGCACGGCGUCGCGCACUCCGGGCCCCUCGGCGCGGCUGCGGUCGGAGGCGGCGGAGCUCCGGGACGCCUUCAGCUCGGAGGUCUUCCCCUCAUCCCCAGCAGGCUGCCCAACGGUGACCUGGCGUUCGUUUUACCGACUGUCGCGGCGACAGCUUCCGGCGGAGGCGCCGCCGCAUCGUCAAACAGCGCCGCCGUAGCCGCCGCCGCUGCUGCUGCUGCGGCGGCGGCUGCUGGGCCGCCAUCGUCCUGGGGACCUCCGACGCCGACAAACACGUCGACGCCGACGUCGCCGCACCCUCCUCGGUCGCCGAGUCCUGCGAGCAGCUUCGGCGGCAGCCCCCUGUGCAGUCCCAUGGGCAGCGACAUGGGCAGCGAGGACGCAUCGUCGUGCGACGCCCAAUCGAUGCUCCAGAGGUCGCCCUCCUGCUUCUCGCCGCCGCCUUCGGCGGCCCUCGACGACCUGGCCACGAUGCAUCGGCCACCCUUCUUCCGCGACGUCAUCCUGCGCGGGCUCGAGGCCUCGGCUGCGGCGACGCAGUUCCGGGAAGAGAUGCAGCAGCGGGAGCACUCUCAGAACGAGGAUGACGAAGACGACGAACACGGCAGGGUCGGGGACGACAGCGUCUGGAGGCCCUGGUAGUCAGCUUUGUGAAGUGCCUUUUCUGUACAGAACUAUACUGCUGUUUAUGUUGGAGAAACUUGGCGUUCGUUGAAAAGUUUGUUGACUACGGAAUCGACACCCUAGAUGGGGGCGGGGAAGGAGGCGAGAAUAUGGGCAGCGGGAAGAGCAACGAUUCUUGAAAGCAAGCAACAGAAGAUGCUGUGCCACGGAUCAUGUUACACACGAGACUGAUAAGCAAGGUGAAAGCGAGUGACUUGCGUUUUAUGUGGCUACUGUAGUGCGCCUGGCAGUAUACAGUCUUUGUCAAAAAUUUCGAAACCGCUCUGUGAGUGAUAUUUGUCUCCGGACUUAUCCGAAAGGUUCGUAUGACAAGCCUAUAGCUCUCCGAAACCGAAGAGAGUUAGGAACGAUGCCCUUUUUGAUCUAUGGAGUCCUUGGAGCAACGAAACUUUUCAACCGCCCUAAUAUAUGUUCGACGCGAUGUCUGUUGAUGCUCGGAGCGCUCCGAAACUUUAGGACAGCCUGUAUGUAUAGCGUUGAUCAUUUGCAGUCUUAUGAAGUGCAGGAAUAGUGCACCAAAUGUCGAAGGCUUGAAGUGAAGCUCGUUCACUAGUCCCAGGCUGGUCGUCGUUGUUUGCAACGCUUAUACGUUUGUUCUACCCUUUUACUGGGUUGUGUGGCGUGAAUCUGAGGAUGUAGAGUGACAGAACAACGUUGAAGGCGAAGCGUUUCUUCUUAGCAAACUUUGACACUCUUGAUAACGCUUACGUACGCUUCUAAACGGCAGCACGUUUCGAGAUUAGCUGGAACUUGAAGGACAUCUUGCCAUCGUUUUAUCAGGUCUCUGUAGGACUGCUUUAUAGGGAAGAUGUGCCUUCGUGGAACCUCACGGCGACAGUACCUACGAAUUGUCACGCGCAACCGACGUGUAUAAUGACCAUCGCUUUAGGGGUAUUUUACCUACGAGAACAAAUUCGUGUAGAAUGGAACUUGAUGCCUGCCAUAAGAACCCCAAGCAAGAAAUACCAUAUUUAAAUCAAAACGUCUAGUGAGCCUAAACAAUGCAACACAUAGGGUCAAGUGCGUGGCUAAAUUAAGUGAACUGGCAUGGUAGAAAAGGUUUAGCGUUAACAACGUGGACACCGCUUGGUUGCCUUACGAAGGAUGUUUGGUUACUGUGAUGGUGCUCGUAUUGCUCAUCGCAUCGAUUCGCUUCUAACGCGCCGUUUAUAUCGUAUAUAUUUAUUGACCGGAUGCAAAAUGAUUGUUGCAGAAAAUAAAUAUUUCUGAGGAGCAAGACUGAAUCUGAAAGCUGGGCGGAAGCAUUUUGUAUAAUGUGUGGUAUACCUCGCUCGCUUCACCUUAUUAAUUGGCCUUGCGGUUUCCUUGUCAUGACUGUGGCCUUUUGUUGUUGCUCUCCAGCUACACGUGUUGUAAAGCACUUCUUGUUUCUUGUUGCACGACUCGGAUCUCACCACAUCGACUUUACACCAUACACGACGCUAUUUUCGUACGAAGCUAUGUUAUAGGAGAGUGUGAUACAUGUUUCUGUUUGUACAUAGAUGCUGCGGCAACCACCACAGUGUGCCUUACUGCUGUACAUACGUCCAUUUAAUUACGCGAGCUACAUUCCUCGCAUCUUUUUGUCUGUGUUUGUAUAUUUUUUUUCAUCGAAUCUAAUUGCAUGGCUUUGUUGACGUCAUGUCUUCCGGUGUUACAAGGGACAUGCAUUUCGAACAAACGUUGCCUUUUAUGCUGUGCGAGAUAUCCCGGUUUCGCCAGCUGUUACGUUAAACGGACGAAGAAUCUUGACGUACAGUCCUUUUCAGAAGUUCCUGGGCCAUUGCAGGCGUUUCCAGAGCACCUGCCUGAAAGUUUGUCGGCGUACACUCCUCACAGCCUUUAGCUAAGGAGGAAGCACAAAAUUCUCAAACCAUGGCCUCCGAAAUCGGUCGGCGUGCGGCCGAUAUCGGAGGCCAUAAUCAGGUUUGGCGGUUCUUGCGAACCAAGUGGCCUUCUUUAUGCCAACAAAUCUUACGGCCACUUUGGAGCUUGUGCUUGGCACUCUGGCUUUAGAGAGCUGAUGACGUAAUUAUGUUUUCGAGCGACAAUGUACCGCCUUGUGCGAGCCCUGGUCUUGCACCCAGUGAUCCGAGAACUAUCGAAAACGCCGGUACGCGCACGAUUGCUUCUUGUCCGAGAAUACGCUGAGCAGUUCUCUCCAUGCAGCGAAACGCAGCGUUUGAGUUUUUUGUAUGACUCAUAUAAGGGGGCGUGUACAUUGUGGCCCCCUGGUGUGCAUACGAUGUAACUAAUUACGUUGUCUAUUUGUAUCUUCAUUGAUCUUUUUUGACUUUGACCGACGGAAUGUAAAGGGACCCUAGGGAGGAAACUUUAGUUGCAUUCGUAAAUUGCAUUUCCAGAAUGACCAAUACACUCAUUCUUGUGCCGUGCGCGGAGGGAUCGCUAAGCCAGAAAAUACGGGAGUAUGAAACAAAGUGGCGACGCCUUAUUGAAGUUCCUCCGCCAGUUUCCUGUGACAUGUAUUUUGACCUCGUCUCCGUCGUCCUGGUUAAUUGUCUAUCGAUAAAAAUACUGCAUUGAAUUUUAAAUGAACCGAGGAUUCAAGCUAAAAAGCUUGUACAACUUCCUGUCUGGGCCAAAACGGCCCAAAUACAAGAAGAUAUUUGGAAAACAGUGAUGUCACACGAACAUAUUGGCGCUGCAGCGUGGGCGCUUCAUUCAAGAAAGGGAAGGUUUGCCUCUAUUGUGUCGUAUAAUCAAAAUCUUUGCGCCGAAGAAAUUAAAAUACAGUUUCGAAACAGUACAAACUGAACUAGCUUAGUGGCUCUCUCUACUGUCCCGUUGGCAGCUGCAGUUCAAAACAAGAUCCACCGUAACUAAAUUACGAUUGUGGCCUCGCUUCAAUGUGACCUGAUGUGAGGCAUAACGUACGGGGGCGAACCGCAACAGCAUGAAAUGGCUUUUGUAGAACUCUAAAUUGUGUUUGUAGCGCCGGUCCAUUAUUGUUUACGAAUGCGAUGGACAUUGCACAAGUACUCUUCCCUCUACGCAUGUUAAACAUGCGAACUGUACAUACAAUUACCUCACUUUCGAAUCUGCUGGACCAAGUUCGGUAGCUUGUUACAUAUACUGCAUACAACAUAUGCUGUCUUCCACUGUGCCAGUUCGUUUUUUCUCGAUUGUUCUGUACAAAACACGUGCCUUCUUCUCGAUGCCUUGAUCUCGAAAACGUGUGUUGUUGGGAAAGAGACCUACUGCCUUUUUUGCUCAAGUGCCAAUAAAAAGAAGUAUUCUUUUUCUUA